RNAcentral lists this long non-coding RNA (236 nucleotides) under Homo sapiens (human). RNAcentral's name for it is "non-protein coding lnc-GSPT1-4:1". Lineage: Eukaryota; Metazoa; Chordata; Mammalia; Primates; Hominidae. The record is from RNAcentral.
AUGAUUGAGGUUGUUUGCAACAACCUCAGUGGAGAGUGGAUAGUGUGGAGAAGGUCUGUGUUAAAUGCUACACAGAUAACACCAUUGUGGACCUUAAGAAGCUGAUUACAGCCCAGACUAGGGCUGUAACAAGAACAACCCUUUCAGGAACAAGACUCCUGAAUAAGUGGUAUACAAUUUUUAAGGACCACAUAUCUUUGGGGCACUAUAAAAUCCAGCAGAAGAUGAAGCUGGAG